GAUGAACGCUGGCGGCGUGCCUAAUACAUGCAAGUCGAGCGAACAGAUAAGGAGCUUGCUCCUUUGACGUUAGCGGCGGACGGGUGAGUAACACGUGGAUAACCUACCUAUAAGACUGUGAUAACUUCGGGAAACCGGAGCUAAUACCGGAUAACAUAUUGAACCGCAUGGUUCAAUAGUGAAAGGCGGCUUUGCUGUCACUUAUAGAUGGAUCCGCGCCGUAUUAGCUAGUUGGUAAGGUAACGGCUUACCAAGGCAACGAUACGUAGCCGACCGGGGGGGGUGAUCGGCCACACUGGAACUGAGACACGGUCCAGACUCCUACGGGAGGCAGCAGUAGGGAAUCUUCCGCAAUGGGCGAAAGCCUGACGGAGCAACGCCGCGUGAGUGAUGAAGGUCUUCGGAUCGUAAAACUCUGUUAUCAGGGAAGAACAAAUGUGUAAGUAACUGUGCACAUCUUGACGGUACCUGAUCAGAAAGCCACGGCUAACUACGUGCCAGCCGCCGCGGUAA
RNAcentral lists this ribosomal RNA (513 nucleotides) under uncultured bacterium. RNAcentral's name for it is "partial 16S ribosomal RNA". It matches the Rfam family "Bacterial small subunit ribosomal RNA", at positions 28 to 523 of the family's 1533-position model. The record is from RNAcentral.